AGCGUUGUCCGGAAUCACUGGGCGUAAAGGGCGCGUAGGUGGCUUGCCAAGCGUGUGGUGAAAGCCCGGAGCUCAACUCCGGGUCUGCCAUGCGAACUGGCAGGCUUGAGCACGGUAGAGGCCAAUGGAAUUCCGGGUGUAGCGGUGGAAUGCGUAGAGAUCCGGAAGAACACCGGUGGCGAAGGCGGUUGGCUGGGCCGUAGCUGACACUGAGGCGCGACAGCGUGGGGAGCAAACAGGAUUAGAUACCCUGGUAGUCCACGCCGUAAACGAUGGGCACUAGGUCCUUGGGGGAGCGACCCCGUGAGGGCCGGCGCUAACGCAUUAAGUGCCCCGCCUGGGGAGUACSGCCGCAAGGCUG
This 361-nucleotide ribosomal RNA is filed under the name uncultured bacterium. Its description in RNAcentral is "bacterial SSU rRNA". It matches the Rfam family "Bacterial small subunit ribosomal RNA", at positions 537 to 896 of the family's 1533-position model. The record is from RNAcentral.